RNAcentral lists this ribosomal RNA (1157 nucleotides) under Salmonella enterica. RNAcentral describes it as "partial 23S ribosomal RNA". It matches the Rfam family "Bacterial large subunit ribosomal RNA", at positions 1 to 1190 of the family's 2925-position model. Lineage: Bacteria; Pseudomonadati; Pseudomonadota; Gammaproteobacteria; Enterobacterales; Enterobacteriaceae. The record is from RNAcentral.
GUUGUGAGGUUAAGCGACUAAGCGUACACGGUGGAUGCCCUGGCAGUCAGAGGCGAUGAAGGACGUGCUAAUCUGCGAUAAGCGCCGGUAAGGUGAUAUGAACCGUUAUAACCGGCGAUUUCCGAAUGGGGAAACCCAGUGUGAUUCGUCACACUAUCAUUACGUGAAUACAUAGCGUAAUGAAGCGAACCGGGGGAACUGAAACAUCUAAGUACCCCGAGGAAAAGAAAUCAACCGAGAUUCCCCCAGUAGCGGCGAGCGAACGGGGAGGAGCCCAGAGCCUGAAUCAGCAUGUGUGUUAGUGGAAGCGUCUGGAAAGGCGCGCGAUACAGGGUGACAGCCCCGUACACAAAAGCGCAUGUGCUGUGAGCUCGAUGAGUAGGGCGGGACACGUGGUAUCCUGUCUGAAUAUGGGGGGACCAUCCUCCAAGGCUAAAUACUCCUGACUGACCGAUAGUGAACCAGUACCGUGAGGGAAAGGCGAAAAGAACCCCGGCGAGGGGAGUGAAAAAGAACCUGAAACCGUGUACGUACAAGCAGUGGGAGCACAGGUUUACCUGUGUGACUGCGUACCUUUUGUAUAAUGGGUCAGCGACUUAUAUUCUGUAGCAAGGUUAACCGAAUAGGGGAGCCGGAGGGAAACCGAGUCUUAACCGGGCGUUAAGUUGCAGGGUAUAGACCCGAAACCCGGUGAUCUAGCCAUGGGCAGGUUGAAGGUUGGGUAACACUAACUGGAGGACCGAACCGACUAAUGUUGAAAAAUUAGCGGAUGACCUGUGGCUGGGGGUGAAAGGCCAAUCAAACCGGGAGAUAGCUGGUUCUCCCCGAAAGCUAUUUAGGUAGCGCCUCGUGAAUUCAUCUCCGGGGGUAGAGCACUGUUUCGGCUAGGGGGCCAUCCCGGCUUACCAACCCGAUGCAAACUGCGAAUACCGGAGAAUGUUAUCACGGGAGACACACGGCGGGUGCUAACGUCCGUCGUGAAGAGGGAAACAACCCAGACCGCCAGCUAAGGUCCCAAAGUCAUGGUUAAGUGGGAAACGAUGUGGGAAGGCCCAGACAGCCAGGAUGUUGGCUUAGAAGCAGCCAUCAUUUAAAGAAAGCGUAAUAGCUCACUGGUCGAGUCGGCCUGCGCGGAAGAUGUAACGGGGCUAAACCAU